UGAGGCGAACCGGGGGAACUGAAACAUCUAAGUACCCCGAGGAAAAGAAAUCAACCGAGAUUCCCCCAGUAGCGGCGAGCGAACGGGGAGCAGCCCAGAGCCUGAAUCAGUGUGUGUGUUAGUGGAAGCGUCUGGAAAGGCGCGCGAUACAGGGUGACAGCCCCGUACACAAAAAUGCACAUGCUGUGAGCUCGAUGAGUAGGGCGGGACACGUGGUAUCCUGUCUGAAUAUGGGGGGACCAUCCUCCAAGGCUAAAUACUCCUGACUGACCGAUAGUGAACCAGUACCGUGAGGGAAAGGCGAAAAGAACCCCGGCGAGGGGAGUGAAAAAGAACCUGAAACCGUGUACGUACAAGCAGUGGGAGCACGCUUCGGCGUGUGACUGCGUACCUUUUGUAUAAUGGGUCAGCGACUUAUAUUCUGUAGCAAGGUUAACCGAAUAGGGGAGCCGAAGGGAAACCGAGUCUUAACUGGGCGUUAAGUUGCAGGGUAUAGACCCGAAACCCGGUGAUCUAGCCAUGGGCAGGUUGAAGGUUGGGUAACACUAACUGGAGGACCGAACCGACUAAUGUUGAAAAAUUAGCGGAUGACUUGUGGCUGGGGGUGAAAGGCCAAUCAAACCGGGA
Molecule: ribosomal RNA, 627 nt
Filed under: Escherichia coli
Lineage: Bacteria; Pseudomonadati; Pseudomonadota; Gammaproteobacteria; Enterobacterales; Enterobacteriaceae
Description: bacterial LSU rRNA
Rfam family: Bacterial large subunit ribosomal RNA
Source: RNAcentral